UAAACAUAAGUUAUAUCGUAUAAAUACUAGAAUUGCAAUUGUAUUAAAUAUAGUUUCACAGUUUACAUUGUUCAAACAGCUAGAACAAAAUCAACUUAAUCACGAAAUAUUUAGAUACUCAUGUCUAAAGCACAAAUAACCAAAUUAAAUAAAGACAACAUUACAUGAAAUAUGGUCUAACUAUGACUUGGAUGGUAUACCACCACAAAUUCUGCAACCCUUAGCUCCAAAUAAUGUGUCUUUGAAAUCUCCAAAAUCCCAACCCUUGCUGUGAAAUGAAGUUGGGAUUAUUUCAUUUCCAUCAUCUUAGAGUACAACAUCAUAACUUCAAGGUCCAUAAAAUUAAGGAAAAACAGAAGAAGAAAACAUAACUAUUGAGAGCAUGCACAACAAAAGUAAAAGACACCUAAAAUUAUUCUACAAGUCUCUUGCUAUAGAAAAAACUCAUUUAUCUUCUUAUGGGUAUACAAUUUCCGCUACGACACCUAAAAUUAAAUCCUCGAUGUUGUUUACAAUCUUUAUCUGUUUUACAAUUCCAAUAAACUAUCCUACCGAAAGAAGAAUUAGAAAUUGUGAUGCUAAAACAUAUGGAAAGAAAUAGAAUUAGAACAUAAACUAACUUCGGAGUUUUAACCAUAUUUUUAACUAUUUGCACCGAAAUAAUAGUAAAUGAGUUGGUCUCUUUAUAGUGUAUCAUAAAUUGCAUGGUCCUAUAGAAAUAAUUAAAUAGUUGAAGCAUUUUAAAAUUUUAAAACCCCUUCGGAAUUUUAGAAUCAUUACUCAAUGUAUCUUAAAUAUAUUAAUGUGUUAUUUUAAACCUUUAACACAUUUAGGAAGGCGUUCAUGUAAUAAACAUAAUAAUAAAAAUAAUUGAAUAUAAUUUUAAUAACUUGUCAUCCUUUAAAUAAUUUUAUUAUUUUUUUAACCCUUUUAUGACAAGUCAUCUUACGUUAUUCUUAGCAUGUUUUUCAGUCAAUUUUAGUAGGUUUUACCAGCAAAGUAGAGGAGUAUUAGAUCAAUUGCAUGAUUUUGGAACAUUUGUAUUGUUUUCUAUAUUCGAGUCUAUAAUUCUAUUAUUCCCAAAACAUAGAAAUUUUAGGGUGUUCUUGAUGUAAUUCACGAAGAUUUUUGUGGUCCUUGGGAAGAUGAAGAAGCAAAAUUCAAGAGGCCUCAGAAGACUUUACAGAGGGAGGAAUUUUUUUCCCUAGUUCCAAUACAUCUUACAUUGAAGAAAACACCUCAAGAGGCGAAGAAAAUAGGAAAAACAACACAGAAAACGCACUAAAGUGCCGAGGCGCACCAUAGAGGGGGCUAGGCACCCCAGAGCUAUUGAACUAAAGCACCUAGUGCAAGCCAGGUGUGCUAGGCGCCUCAGGAUGGCAGGCACAUGCACCUAGCGCAUGGCCUUAGGCGCCUAGCGCAUGGUGGCUUGCGAAAAAAGUCAUUUUCUGUGACUUAUUCGCCCCUAGAAGUCCAUGAUUUUAGCCCAAAUUAGGUGGAAACUUUUCCUAUAAUUACCGCAUUCUUCAUUCAUAAUUUCUCGUUUAGUACCGGCGCAGUUCAAGAAGAAGGCGAUUCUAUGAAACAAGGAGGAGUUAUAUCUUCUCCUAUCUUUACUAGCAUAUGUUUUUAUCUUUUUGUACUUUGUCUUAGUUAUCAUGUGUAACUAGAGACUUAUAGGCUAGAGUUCUA
Molecule: long non-coding RNA, 1692 nt
Filed under: Medicago truncatula (barrel medic)
Lineage: Eukaryota; Viridiplantae; Streptophyta; Magnoliopsida; Fabales; Fabaceae
Description: long non-coding RNA (MTRU_LNC007068)
Source: RNAcentral